RNAcentral lists this long non-coding RNA (241 nucleotides) under Carica papaya (papaya). Its description in RNAcentral is "long non-coding RNA (CPAP_LNC008013)". The record is from RNAcentral. Lineage: Eukaryota; Viridiplantae; Streptophyta; Magnoliopsida; Brassicales; Caricaceae.
CCCCUUUAAAAAUGAUUUGUCCUCGAAUCAGACACUUCUUACGUAGGAGUUUCACCAAUCUUAUUUUCUUUGAGAAAAUAUUCUGUAAAACAACACUAUUUAACAAAGAAGAUUUGAUGUAAGUUAAUAAUUUUUUCUUGAAAGAUGGUCUCCUUAGCUCUUGUUCCAUAUAAUAACAUUCUCUUUUCAUGUUCCUCAAUCAUUUAUUUCCUCCAGACUUUAUAGAGUUUUUGAGUUGUUA